GACGAACGCUGGCGGCGUGCUUAACACAUGCAAGUCGAGCGGGGAUUGAAGAAGUGCUUGCACGGAAUCAAUUCUAGCGGCGGACGGGUGAGUAACGCGUGAACAAUCUGUCCCAGACAGUGGGAUAACAGAUGGAAACAUCUGCUAAUACCGCAUAAGACCACAGGAUCACAUGGUCCAGGGGUAAAAGAUUUAUCGGUCUGGGGUGAGUUCGCGUCCGAUUAGCUAGUUGGUGAGGUAACGGCCCACCAAGGCGACGAUCGGUAGCCGACCUGAGAGGGUGAUCGGCCACAUUGGAACUGAGACACGGUCCAA
This 315-nucleotide ribosomal RNA is filed under the name uncultured bacterium. RNAcentral describes it as "bacterial SSU rRNA". It matches the Rfam family "Bacterial small subunit ribosomal RNA", at positions 28 to 334 of the family's 1533-position model. The record is from RNAcentral.